ACGGAAGGCAGCAGUAGGGAAUAUUGGGCAAUGGAGGCAACUCUGACCCAGCCAUGCCGCGUGAAGGAAGACGGCCCUAUGGGUUGUAAACUUCUUUUAUCGUGGAGUAAACCCGGCCACGUGUGGCCGGUUGAGAGUACACGAGGAAUAAGUAUCGGCUAACUCCGUGCCAGCAGCCGCGGUAAUACGGGGGAUACGAGCGUUAUCCGGAUUUAUUGGGUUUAAAGGGUGCGCAGGCGGCACGUUAAGUCAGCGGUGAAAUGUCGGGGCUCAACCCGGGCACUGCCGUUGAAACUGGCGAGCUUGAGUACGGAUGAAGUUGGCGGAAUGUGAUGUGUAGCGGUGAAAUGCUUAGAUAUGUCACAGAACACCGAUUGCGAAGGCAGCUGACUAAUCCGCAACUGACGCUCAGGCACGAAAGCGUGGGGAUCGAACAGGAUUAGAUACCCUGGUA
Molecule: ribosomal RNA, 454 nt
Filed under: uncultured Barnesiella sp.
Lineage: Bacteria; Pseudomonadati; Bacteroidota; Bacteroidia; Bacteroidales; Barnesiellaceae
Description: partial 16S ribosomal RNA
Rfam family: Bacterial small subunit ribosomal RNA
Source: RNAcentral